AGCGAAGUAGAUACACGUGCAUCGCUUCCAAAGGAAGGGGCGACUAACUCUGUGCCAGCAGUCGCGGUAAUACAGAGGCCCCGAGCGUUAAUCGGAAUCUCUGGGCUUAAAGGGUGCGCAGGCGGAUCGGAUAGUGUUUUGUGAAAUCCCUCGGCUCAACCGGGGAACAUGCAGGCAUACUACCGAUCUUGAGACAGGUAGGGGUCGAUGGAACCAUGGGUGGAGCGGUGAAAUGCGUAGAUAUCCAUGGGAACGCCAAUGGCGAAGGCAGUCGACUGGGCCUGUUCUGACGCUCAGGCACGAAAGCGUGGGGAGCAAACAGGAUUAGAUACCCUGGUAGUCCACGCCGUAAACGAUGCACACUAGAUCGGAGUCGCUCUGACGCGCCUCUGGUCGACGUAAAAACAUUAAGUGUGCCGCCUGGGGAGUACGGUCGCAAGGCUAAACUCAAAGGAAUUGACGGA
This 464-nucleotide ribosomal RNA is filed under the name uncultured bacterium. Its description in RNAcentral is "bacterial SSU rRNA". It matches the Rfam family "Bacterial small subunit ribosomal RNA", at positions 452 to 917 of the family's 1533-position model. The record is from RNAcentral.